GAUGAACGCUAGCUACAGGCUUAACACAUGCAAGUCGAGGGGAAACGACAUCGCAAGCUUGCUUUUGAUGGGCGUCGACCGGCGCACGGGUGAGUAACGCGUAUCCAACCUGCCCAUCACUUGGGAAUAACCUUGCGAAAGUAAGACUAAUACCCAAUGAUAUCCCACGAAGGCAUCGGAAUGGGAUUAAAGAUUUAUCGGUGAUGGAUGGGGAUGCGUCUGAUUAGCUUGUUGGCGGGGUAACGGCCCACCAAGGCAACGAUCAGUAGGGGUUCUGAGAGGAAGGUCCCCCACGUUGGAACUGAGACAAGGUCCAAACGCCUACGAGAAGCAGCAGUUGGGAAUAAUGGGCAAGGGGCGAGAGCCUGAACCAGCCAAGUAGCGUGCAGGAAGACGGCCCUAUGGGUUGUAAACUGCUUUUAUAAGAGAAUAAAGUGGGUCACGUGUGACUUUUUGCAUGUACCUUAUGAAUAAGGACCGGCUAAUUCCGUG
RNAcentral lists this ribosomal RNA (492 nucleotides) under uncultured bacterium. RNAcentral's name for it is "partial 16S ribosomal RNA". It matches the Rfam family "Bacterial small subunit ribosomal RNA", at positions 28 to 507 of the family's 1533-position model. The record is from RNAcentral.